This 500-nucleotide ribosomal RNA is filed under the name uncultured bacterium. RNAcentral describes it as "partial 16S ribosomal RNA". It matches the Rfam family "Bacterial small subunit ribosomal RNA", at positions 28 to 507 of the family's 1533-position model. The record is from RNAcentral.
GACGAACGCUGGCGGCGUGCUUAACACAUGCAAGUCGAACGGGUCUGCCCUGUUUUUUGCGGGGUGGGUCAGUGGCGAACGGGUGAGUAACACGUGAGUAACCUGCCCCUCACUUCUGGAUAACCGCUUGAAAGGGUGGCUAAUACGGGGUGUUCUGGCUGUGCCGCAUGGUGUGGCUGGGAAAGAUUCACUUUUGUGGUGUUUUGGUGGGGGAUGGGCUCGCGGCCUAUCAGCUUGUUGGUGGGGUGAUGGCCUGCCAAGGCUUUGACGGGUAGCCGGCCUGAGAGGGUGGGCGGUCACACUGGGACUGAGAUACGGCCCAGACUCCUGCGGGAGGCAGCAGUGGGGGGUAUUGCACAAUGGGCGGAAGCCUGAUGCAGCGACGUCGCGUGAGGGAUGGAGGCCUUCGGGUUGUGAACCUCUUUCGCCGGUGAAGAAGGUCCUGCUCUUUGUGGUGGGGUUGACGGUAACCGGGUUAUGAAGCGCCGGCUAACUACGUG